This 170-nucleotide ribosomal RNA is filed under the name Opsaridium peringueyi. RNAcentral describes it as "partial 12S rRNA". Lineage: Eukaryota; Metazoa; Chordata; Actinopteri; Cypriniformes; Danionidae. The record is from RNAcentral.
AACCGCGGUUAGACGAGAGGCCCCAGUUGAUUAAUUCACGGCGUAAAGGGUGGUUAAGGAAAUUAAAAGGUAAAGCCGAACGGCCCCUUGGCUGUCAUACGCUCCUGGAAGCCAGAAGCCCUAGUACGAAAGUAGCUUUAUGUACACCUGAACCCACGAAAGCUAAGAAA